GGCCUAACACAUGCAAGUCGAACGAUGACCCAGAGCUUGCUCUGGUGAUUAGUGGCGAACGGGUGAGUAACACGUGAGUAACCUGCCCUUGACUCUGGGAUAAGCACUGGAAACGGUGUCUAAUACCGGAUACGACCUUCAGCCGCAUGGCUAGGGGGUGGAAAGAAUUUCGGUCAAGGAUGGACUCGCGGCCUAUCAGCUAGUUGGUGAGGUAAUGGCUCACCAAGGCGACGACGGGUAGCCGGCCUGAGAGGGUGACCGGCCACACUGGGACUGAGACACGGCCCAGACUCCUACGGGAGGCAGCAGUGGGGAAUAUUGCACAAUGGGCGCAAGCCUGAUGCAGCAACGCCGCGUGAGGGACGACGGCCUUCGGGUUGUAAACCUCUUUUAGUAGGGAAGAAGCGAAAGUGACGGUACCUGCAGAAAAAGCACCGGCUAACUACGUGCCAGCAGCCGCGGUAAUACGUAGGGUGCAAGCGUUAUCCGGAAUUAUUGGGCGUAAAGAGCUCGUAGGCGGUUUGUCGCGUCUGCUGUGAAAACUGGAGGCUCAACCUCCAGCCUGCAGUGGGUACGGGCAGACUAGAGUGCGGUAGGGGAGAUUGGAAUUCCUGGUGUAGCGGUGGAAUGCGCAGAUAUCAGGAGGAACACCGAUGGCGAAGGCAGAUCUCUGGGCCGUAACUGACGCUGAGGAGCGAAAGCAUGGGGAGCGAACAGGAUUAGAUACCCUGGUAGUCCAUGCCGUANACGUUAGGAACUAGAUGUAGGGGCCAUUCCACGGUUUCUGUGUCGCAGCUAACGCAUUAAGUUCCCCGCCUGGGG
This 822-nucleotide ribosomal RNA is filed under the name uncultured Microbacteriaceae bacterium. RNAcentral describes it as "bacterial SSU rRNA". It matches the Rfam family "Bacterial small subunit ribosomal RNA", at positions 45 to 878 of the family's 1533-position model. The record is from RNAcentral. Lineage: Bacteria; Bacillati; Actinomycetota; Actinomycetes; Micrococcales; Microbacteriaceae.